AUGGCGUGUAAGUCAUCACUGCGGGCCAUUUGGAUGUGGAGGAGGAAAUGCUUGAUCCAUACUGCGGGAUCUGUUGUGCCAUCGUAUGAUUCAAUAUUUAUAGGUUUGAAACCUUCUGGGAUUUGA
This 126-nucleotide ribosomal RNA is filed under the name Triticum aestivum (bread wheat). RNAcentral's name for it is "partial small subunit ribosomal RNA". Lineage: Eukaryota; Viridiplantae; Streptophyta; Magnoliopsida; Poales; Poaceae. The record is from RNAcentral.